RNAcentral lists this ribosomal RNA (787 nucleotides) under Salmonella enterica subsp. enterica serovar Kentucky. RNAcentral describes it as "partial 23S ribosomal RNA". It matches the Rfam family "Bacterial large subunit ribosomal RNA", at positions 566 to 1315 of the family's 2925-position model. The record is from RNAcentral. Lineage: Bacteria; Pseudomonadati; Pseudomonadota; Gammaproteobacteria; Enterobacterales; Enterobacteriaceae.
CGGUGGCGGAGCGUCGUUUGCGACGCCCAACACACAAAACAAGCGGUGAGUGCUUUGGGGUGGGGUGACUGCGUACCUUUUGUAUAAUGGGUCAGCGACUUAUAUUCUGUAGCAAGGUUAACCGUAUAGGGGAGCCGAAGGGAAACCGAGUCUUAACUGGGCGUUAAGUUGCAGGGUAUAGACCCGAAACCCGGUGAUCUAGCCAUGGGCAGGUUGAAGGUUGGGUAACACUAACUGGAGGACCGAACCGACUAAUGUUGAAAAAUUAGCGGAUGACUUGUGGCUGGGGGUGAAAGGCCAAUCAAACCGGGAGAUAGCUGGUUCUCCCCGAAAGCUAUUUAGGUAGCGCCUCGUGAACUCAUCUUCGGGGGUAGAGCACUGUUUCGGCUAGGGGGUCAUCCCGACUUACCAACCCGAUGCAAACUGCGAAUACCGAAGAAUGUUAUCACGGGAGACACACGGCGGGUGCUAACGUCCGUCGUGAAGAGGGAAACAACCCAGACCGCCAGCUAAGGUCCCAAAGUCACAGUUAAGUGGGAAACGAUGUGGGAAGGCUCAGACAGCCAGGAUGUUGGCUUAGAAGCAGCCAUCAUUUAAAGAAAGCGUAAUAGCUCACUGGUCGAGUCGGCCUGCGCGGAAGAUGUAACGGGGCUAAACUGUGCACCGAAGCUGCGGCAGCGACGCUUAUGCGUUGUUGGGUAGGGGAGCGUUCUGUAAGCCUGCGAAGGUGUCCUGUGAGGGAUGCUGGAGGUAUCAGAAGUGCGAAUGCUGACAUAAGUAACGAUAA